AACGCACCUUGCGCUCCUUGGCAUUCCGAGGAGCAUGCCUGUUUGAGUGUCAUUAAAUUCUCAAUCCAUAUGAUUUAUUUCACAUGGACUUGGAAUGUGGGAGCGUGCAGGCCCCUUGAAGGGAUCUGCUCUCCUUAAAUGCAUUAGUCGGACUUUUUGCAGCAGUCUGUGGUGUGAUAAUUAUCUACACCCAGGAUGGUGCAGUCUUGCCGUCCAGCUUCCAAUGGUCCAUUCAAUUGGACAGCUCAUUGACAAUUUGACCUCAAAUCAGGUAGGACUACCCGCUGAACUUAA
This 294-nucleotide unclassified non-coding RNA is filed under the name uncultured Agaricales. Its description in RNAcentral is "sequence contains ITS2". The stretch from base 1 to 52 matches the Rfam family "5.8S ribosomal RNA", at positions 103 to 154 of the family's 154-position model. Lineage: Eukaryota; Fungi; Basidiomycota; Agaricomycetes; Agaricales. The record is from RNAcentral.